Molecule: long non-coding RNA, 244 nt
Organism: Papaver somniferum (opium poppy)
Lineage: Eukaryota; Viridiplantae; Streptophyta; Magnoliopsida; Ranunculales; Papaveraceae
Exons: 4
Source: RefSeq, a predicted model, not a curated record
AGUCUCCAACUCCAUUCUUUUUUCUUCUCUCAGUCUCAGAUUCUCUUUGUGGAUCAUCGGCAUCACCAGAAGCAAACCAAUAACGGAAGAUUGAAGAACAGAACCCAGCUAUCUUCUUUUACCCAGUUGGUAAAUAAAUCAUUCUUUACCUCUCAAACUGCAUCCACAUUACAGUCAUUGCCAGAAUCUUCUCCUACUUACAGGGUUUGUCAAGAUUGAAGAACUGAAGUUCAGUUCAUUGGAG